Molecule: long non-coding RNA, 861 nt
Filed under: Equus caballus (horse)
Lineage: Eukaryota; Metazoa; Chordata; Mammalia; Perissodactyla; Equidae
Description: lncRNA (ENSECAG00000035877.3)
Source: RNAcentral
CACUGAGAACAAUAAAAUACAGGAUCUGCCAGCUGAAAUGGAAGUUAACAGUUUAGCCUCUGGCAAUAUUAUUUUUGAGAAUGCUUUCACUUUCUUAAGUUUAGGUAAAGCUAGUGGUUGAUUUGAACUAAAUAGAAUUCACUCAGUACUUUAGAACGCGUGCUACAGUGAAGAAUGGCUUCAGGAAACAAACUUUGAGAAUCAGAAUUGGAGAAUCAUAUUAUCCACGUCAACUCAGCAGUGAAAUGAUUAGUAAUUGAUUGCGUGUUCUGCACAUUGUCCCUGCAAAAAUGUCUCAUUUUGUGGACCAAAAACUGUCUUGGAAGAAUUCCAGGAAGUUUGCAAGAAAUUCAAUCUCAAGUCUGAGAUAACCGCCUUAUUCAAGAAAUUGACUGUGGAGGAAAUAGAAUUGCCUUUCAAGAUUCCUUGCAGCUGUGAUCCAAGGCAGAAAAAAAGAUAUCCCACAGCAGGAAUUCACCCAGCAACCACUGCACCUCAGCAAUGUAGGUGAGCGUACAGGAAAGGGACCUGUGCCGUGUUCAUCUCCCUCUUUAAAAUCAGCACAAAAGACAACGAUAUCAAGGGUAAAUGGUCCUAUGAAAAGAUUGUAGAAUUUUCCUCUAGAGGUUUUACUCAUAGAAGUAUUAAAGAUUUAUACUAUAUUCCUCCAGAGCUUACUAUAUGACUAGAAAUAAACAUUUCUGCAAGUCCGAGCUUGGGUAGAAUCACCACGUGGACAGUUAUCACUUAUGUAUAGAGCAUGGAUGAGGUGGGCAAUAGGAGUUGAUGGAAAAGAGCCACAGAAACAAAUAAGUCAAUUUCCACAAUGAUCUAUUCAAGAUCAUUUGAAAUAUAAGUAGC